Molecule: ribosomal RNA, 466 nt
Filed under: uncultured bacterium
Lineage: Bacteria
Description: partial 16S ribosomal RNA
Rfam family: Bacterial small subunit ribosomal RNA
Source: RNAcentral
GAUGAACGCUGGCGGCGUGCUUAAUACAUGCAAGUCGAACGAAGAAGCCCAGAUUGCUGUGUGGAUUAGUGGCGAGCGGGUGAGUAACUCGCACGUGGACUGCCCUUGUCUAUGGGAUAAGUCUGGGAAACUGAGCGUAAUACUGGAUAUGACUUCUCAUCGCAUGGUGGGGGGUGGAGUGAUUUAGUGGUCUUCGAUGGACUCGCGGCCUAUCAGCUUGUAGGUGAGGUAUUGGCUAACCAACGCGUCGACGGGUAGCCGGCCUGAGAGGUUGACCGGGCACACGAGGACUGAGACAGGCACCAGAAGCCUACGUGACGCAGUAGUGGGGAAUAUGGCGCAAUGAGCGCAAGCCAGAUGCAACGACGCCGCGUGAGUGAUGACGGCCUUCUAGUGGUAAACCUCUGUCAGAAGGGAAGAAGCGGGAGUGACGGUACCUGCAGAAGAAGCGCCGGCUAACUACGUG